Molecule: ribosomal RNA, 523 nt
Filed under: uncultured bacterium
Lineage: Bacteria
Description: bacterial SSU rRNA
Rfam family: Bacterial small subunit ribosomal RNA
Source: RNAcentral
AAUAGAUACCCUGGUAGUCCAUGCCGUAAACGUUGGGAACUAGAUGUGGGGACCAUUCCACGGUUUCCGUGUCGCAGCUAACGCAUUAAGUUCCCCGCCUGGGGAGUACGGCCGCAAGGCUAAAACUCAAAGGAAUUGACGGGGGCCCGCACAAGCGGCGGAGCAUGCGGAUUAAUUCGAUGCAACGCGAAGAACCUUACCAAGGCUUGACAUAUACGAGAACGCUCUAGAAAUAGAGAACUCUUUGGACACUCGUAUACAGGUGGUGCAUGGUUGUCGUCAGCUCGUGUCGUGAGAUGUUGGGUUAAGUCCCGCAACGAGCGCAACCCUCGUCGUAUGUUGCCAGCACGUAAUGGUGGGAACUCAUAUGAGACUGCCGGGGUCAACUCGGAGGAAGGUGGGGAUGAGGUCAAAUCAUCAUGCCCCUUAUGUCUUGGGCUUCACGCAUGCUACAAUGGGCCGGUACAAAGGGCUGCAAUACCGCAAGGUGGAGCGAAUCCCAAAAAGCCGGUCUCAGUUCGGA